RNAcentral lists this long non-coding RNA (271 nucleotides) under Homo sapiens (human). RNAcentral describes it as "HSALNT0018949". The record is from RNAcentral. Lineage: Eukaryota; Metazoa; Chordata; Mammalia; Primates; Hominidae.
UCUCACUCUGUCACCCAGGCUGGAGUGCCGUGGCAAGAUUUCGGCCCACUGCAUCUUCAACCUCCAAGGCUCAGGUUGGCAGCAUAUCCUCCUGGUGGGGAGAAGUUUGUAUGUAGCACCAAGGCAGUCUGAACCCUAGGUAUGAGGGUCCCCAGCCUCAGCAAAAAAUCAUGGGAUAUGAGAAAGUGACCAACUUCAAUCUCAAAGGUAAGUCUUAGGCAAGAAGUAUGUCAGCAUGGGAGUUCUUAUAAUCUCAGAUGCGCUAAAAAAG